This 331-nucleotide ribosomal RNA is filed under the name uncultured eukaryote. RNAcentral describes it as "bacterial SSU rRNA". It matches the Rfam family "Eukaryotic small subunit ribosomal RNA", at positions 592 to 913 of the family's 1831-position model. The record is from RNAcentral.
CAAUAGCGUAUAUUAAAGUUGUUGCAGUUAAAAAGCUCGUAGUUGAAUUUCUGGUCGUGAAAAGUGGUCCGUUCCGCAAGGAAUGUGUACUGUCUAUUCAUGUCCAUCCUCGGAGUUAGUGUGUAUUACUUUAAUCGGUCGUGCAUACAAUACUUCGUCAUUUACUGUGAGCAAAAUAGAGUGUUCAAAGACAGGCUUAUGCCGUUGAAUAUAUUAGCAUGGAAUAAUAAGAUAUGACUUUGGUUCUAUUUUGUUUGGUUUUGGUCACUCCCAAAGUAAAUAGAUUAAUAGGGAGUAGUUGGGGGUAGUUCGUAUUCAAUUGUCAGAGGUG